This 315-nucleotide ribosomal RNA is filed under the name uncultured bacterium. Its description in RNAcentral is "partial 16S ribosomal RNA". It matches the Rfam family "Bacterial small subunit ribosomal RNA", at positions 28 to 408 of the family's 1533-position model. The record is from RNAcentral.
GACGAACGCUGGCGGCGUGCUUAACACAUGCAAGUCGAACGAAGUGGCGAACGGGUGAGUAACGCGUAAUCAACCUGCCCUUCAGAGGGGGUCAACAGUUGGAAACGACUGCUAAUACACCAUACUGAAGGAGGGGUUUGCGUCUGAUUAGCUAGUUGGAGGGGUAACGGCCCACCAAGGCGAUGAUCAGUGGCCGGUCUGGGAGGAUGAACGGCCACAUGGGGACUGAGACACGGCCCAGACUCCUACGGGAGGCAGCAGUGGGGAAUCUUCCGCAAUGGACGAAAGUCUGACGGAGCAACGCCGCGGUAAUUC